AGAGUUUGAUCCUGGCUCAGGAUGAACGCUAGCGGGAGGCUUAACACAUGCAAGUCGAACGGUAAGGCACCUUCGGGUGUACACGAGUGGCGAACGGGUGAGUAACACGUACGCAACAUACCUUCAACAGGGGGAUAGCCCAGAGAAAUUUGGAUUAAUACCCCAUAUUAUCCCGAAUUCGCAUGUUUUUGGGAUGAAAACUCCGGUGGUUGAAGAUUGGCGUGCGGCCCAUUAGCUUGUUGGUAAGGUAACGGCUUACCAAGGCUACGAUGGGUAGGGGGCGUGAGAGCGUGAUCCCCCACACUGGUACUGAGACACGGACCAGACUCCUACGGGAGGCAGCAGUGAGGAAUAUUGGUCAAUGGACGAAAGUCUGAACCAGCCAUCCCGCGUGCAGGAUGACGGCCCUAUGGGUUGUAAACUGCUUUUAUCAGGGAAGAAACCCCCCGAUUUAUCGGGGGCUGACGGUACCUGAAGAAUAAGCACCGGCUAACUCCGUGCCAGCAGCCGCGGUAAUACGGAGGGUGCAAGCGUUAUCCGGAUUUAUUGGGUUUAAAGGGUCCGUAGGCGGACCGGUAAGUCAGUGGUGAAAGCCUUCAGCUCAACUGGAGAACUGCCAUUGAUACUGCCGGUCUUGAGUUCGGUUGAAGUGGGCGGAAUAUGUGGUGUAGCGGUGAAAUGCAUAGAUAUCACAUAGAACACCUAUUGCGAAGGCAGCUCACUAAACCAUUACUGACGCUCAUGGACGAAAGUGUGGGUAGCGAACAGGAUUAGAUACCCUGGUAGUCCACACCGUAAACUAUGAUCACUAGAUGUUGGCGAUAUAAUGUCAGUGUCAAAGAGAAAUCGUUAAGUGAUCC
This 860-nucleotide ribosomal RNA is filed under the name marine metagenome. RNAcentral's name for it is "bacterial SSU rRNA". It matches the Rfam family "Bacterial small subunit ribosomal RNA", at positions 8 to 870 of the family's 1533-position model. The record is from RNAcentral.